GUGGUGAGGUUUCCUCGAGGAGAGAGAGGGGAAGAAACCGAAGAAGCGAUCCCGUUAGGGUUUGGUGAGAGAGUUGGAGAGAGAGGGAAGAUGGUGGAGGGGUGGGCCCCGCAGACCAAGAUUUUGGCUCAUGAGAAUGUUUGUGGUUUCAUUAGUCAUUGUGGGAUGAGUUCUACGAUGGAGAGCUUGUAUUUCGGGGUGCCGGUGAUCGGCGUUCCGAUCAAGCUCGAUCAGCCGUUGAAUUCAAGGCUGCUGACGGAGGCUGGUCUUUGUGUCGAGGUGGCGAGAGACGAGAAUGGAGAUUUUCGAGGAGAUGAUGUGGCGGCGGCGAUCCAAAAAGUUGUGGAGAGUGGGGAGGGGAUGAGGGUUAAGGCGGCGGAGAUGAUAGAGGCGAUGAGGGCGGAGGAAGAGUUCGCGGUUAGGGAGGCCGCCGAGCAUCUCAGGCGAAUUUGUGUCGAGCGUAUGAUCUAGUUGGUGGAGUGACAGAUUUUUUAAUAUUAUAAAAAUAAAGAAAAAAUAGUACUCAAUGGUAGAAUAAUCAAUAUUUUAAUAUUAUAAAUUUCAAGUUUGAGUUUAUUAUCAUGCAAAUUCUUAGAAUAUUUGUUUCUCUUGAAAAAAGAUACAGUAUAAAGAGAAUGUAGAGUGACUGAGGUUUAUUUAAUUUCGUGUAUAGAAUUCGUAGGUUUUAUGUGGAAUAGAGAGAUUAAGUCAUGCAUUUGCACACGUUAUAUAUAAAUGUGUUAGUUCUUAAAAAUUUGUAGGAUUGUUGUUAUAUAAAAUUAUUUAAUUAUUUCAAAUUUUGAUGCCUAUUCUUUGUUUCAUUGUUAAUUUUUAAUUAUUAUUUUUUCAAUUUAAUUUUUUAUAGUGUCGUACAGUUUUAAAAUUAAUUAUUAACUAUGGUUCAUUGAUCUAAUUAGGAUAUUUAUAUAAUUAUUUUUAUACUUUAUGUUGUGAUUUUUGAUUUAUAAUUCGUAAUUGGACUUACUUUACCCAUAAUUAGAUACAUAAUUUCCCUUUCUUAAAUUUAAAUUUCGAGUGAUGAAUAUUUAUUAUGAUUCAUUAUACCUUUCAUUUUAAUUCUUUGUAAAAUAGUGAAAUGAAAUUAAUGUUAUAAGACACUAAAACCAAUGAUAUAUUAUGUAGAAAAACUUAUAAUAUGCAAACACCUACUGUAUUACUUAAAGAAAAUGAAAGAGAUCUGAUCGCCAUAUAUAUAUAGAUUAACCCUUGUAAAAUAAUGAGAUUCUCUAGAGAAAUAUUACAGCAAUAUUCAUGUCUAGUGUCCGGCCGUCAAAGAGUUAAUAUUCGUAUUCAAACACUAGUAAAAUUAUAAUUAUAUAUACUACUCUUAAAUAUUAUAGUGUCCCACUUGCAAUAUCAUAUGUACUAUUAAAUGUAUCAUUUUAAUAAUUAAUGCAUGUGCAUACUGUGAAAUUUCUUUAUAAACAAUGCUGGAGAUAGUCAGAAGAGAACGGGAAUCACAUGCUCAAAUAAAUGUAUAUUACAAGACAAGUUGUUAAUUGAGAGUAAUUAUAGAUUGACAAAUCAGGAUCUUUAUGGAGUAAUUAUUAUGUGAUGAGGAAUCGUAAUGGAGGCAUGAACAUCACUGACAAAUUGCAACAAACAACAAGAAAACUACAUAUUGUGAUAAAGUAAUGGACAUGGCCCUCAUUGAUUAAAGAAGACUACUUCAAAUUUGAUCUGUUAUGUCAUCAAAUCUUGCCUUGAUUGAAAAACAUUUUGAGAUCUGCAAUAAAAAAUAUAACUUUCUUUUUUGUGUCUUAUUAAUUAAAAAAAUGUGUGAGACCCAACAAUGAGGCCCAUCAACUUAUACUAAUUCUUAUGUCCCACGAAUCUUGAUACGUAUUUUUUUUUUGGUCGUCCCAUGAAUCUUGACACAUUUUCAAAUAUGAUACUCCCUUCGUCCCACGAAUCUCGAGUCAUUUUCUGUACGGGAAUUAAAGAGUUAAAUGUAGUGUUUUAAGUGUGUAGGUAAUAAAGUAGAAAAGUGAUUAGAUAAAUGUGUAGGUAAUAAAGUAGAAAAGUACACAAUUAGUUAACAUAAAGUUUAAUUAAAACUCCUUAUUUUCCCCCUAAUUCUUAGUGUAUAUAGAAAUUACUCAAGAUUCGUGGGACGGUCGAAAAAUGAAAUUGACUCAAGAUUCGUGGGACGUAUGGAGUAAUAAUUAUUACAUUAUCGCUCCUACUUUAUCACUUUUAUUACCUCAUCUCUCCUAUUUUAUCACUUUUUAUUGCCACAUCUCUCCUAUUUUAUCAUUUUUAUACUUUAUUAUCUAUACACUUAAAACACUAAUUUACAAUUUUUUUAAUUCUUGUGUCCAAACCAAACGUAUCAAGAUUUGUGGGACGGAGAAUAUAUACCUCAACUUCCGUAUAACUAUAAUAAUGUAGGCCAUUAAUUCAUGUUAAGUCCAUUUAGACAUGUUCACAAAAAUGAGGCCCAUCAACUUAUACUUUAUUUACGAUAUUCUGGUGGUUUCAUUCUUAUUUUAAUGUUUUGAAGAAAUAUCAUAUUCUGUCAUAAUGUUUAAUUUCCUUUUUAAUAAUACCACACUUUUUAAAUUUUGACAAAUUAAUAUUACAUGUAUUAUUUUGAUAUUCUUUUUAAUAAUAUCAUGAAGCUUAAACAUAAAAGUCCAUAUAGCUAGCUAGCCCAUAUGUUACUAGUUGGGCUAUAUGUGUUGUAGAAUUCCUAAUAUUCCUAGAAUCAAUCAAUAGAAUAUUACAAGUCAAUCUAAACUAUAUGUCAAUAAUAGCAAGUUUGAAAAGAGAUUAAAAAUCAAAAGAAAGACUAUAUUAUAGUAUAUAUAUAUAGAUAUAUAUAUAUAUAUAUAUAUAUAUANGAAAAGAGAUUAAAAUACAAAAGAAAGACUAUAUUAUAUAUAUAUAUAUAGAUAUAUAUAUAUAUAUAUAUAUAUAUAUAUGCAUGAGAAUUGACUUCUUUGGUUACCUUUUUGUCAAAAAGAAAUGUUGAACUAAUAAAUUAAUCAUUUGAAGCAUUUUUUUUCGUGUGUAUCACAAACGUACGUGGUACUCUUGGUCCAUUACAAAUGUCCCACUUAUCAUAAUAAGAUGUCUCAUUCUUUUUUUGGCAAUAAACUCUCUCUAUAUCUAAUAUUUAAAUAAUUUCUAUCAACUCACUUUAUCUACUUUCUACAUAUUUCUUAAUCUUCGUGCUUAAAAGUAAUGAAACAUUUAUAAUGAGAUGGAGAGAGUACAUAUUUUCUCACUUAUAGAGUGGUAUCAGAUCACCAUAUACACCAUCAAUUCAAAUCCUGAUCUUUUACUAUUGUGGUAUUUUUUUUAUUGUAUUUAUAAAUUAUUAACAUGCACUAUUAAAAAAGUUUAUAGAUGACGCUCAUAAAGCAUCAUUUAUGUAUGUCUAAAGUAUCAAACAUAACUGUCAUCUAUAUGUUCAUAAAUGACGCUUUGUACAUUAUAGAUGACAUUUAAAAGCGUCAUCUAUUCAUAUUAAACAUCAUAAUUGAUGCUUAGAUGACGAUUUUUUACCGCCAUCUAUUUAUUUUUCUAUUUAAACGAUCUUUUGGGAUUUUUUUUGAAUUUCUUGUUUUAAAUUUUAAAAUUCAAUUAAUUGUAGUAUAAAAAAAACAUAUUUCAACACAAAUGCAAAUGCCUAUUAACAUAUUCAUAUAUUAAUAAUCCAACACUAAAAAUCCUACAUCCACAUCAUACCACAUAAUACUAAAAAAUAUAAACAACAAAAUUCAAAAUAACAUAUUUAAAAAUCAUAUCCAAAAUCAACGAACUUUUUUAUCGAUCAAUAUUAAUUAAUUGUCCUUUCACAUGUCAAUCUACAAAGCAAAAUGAGCUAUGCAUUACUCGGCAUUAUAUAAUACUAGCAAUUAUAUAAUGAAAUGUAAACAUCAUAUCUAGAAUUAAAUUUCCAUUAUCUUGCAGAUAAAAUACUGUAAUAUUUUUACCUGUACAAGCACGAAUCUUUCAAUACCCCGCGUGCUGGGUCACCUACUACAACUAUUGUAUAUACAUGUAUAGUCACCACCAAAUUUCUUCUAGUCAGUUUCACCACUAAGAGGGUGUUUCGCUGAGCUUAUAAGCUCCUCAAAACAGCUUCUCCAAAGUGUUUAACAAAAUAAGCUUCCAAACAGCUUAUAAGCUCCCCAAACAAUAAUUUUCUUUACCCCAACUUAUUUUUUAUAAUCUCAUAUGCAACAAUCAUUUUAUAAAUAUUUUUCAACUGCAAUUUAUUAUUUUCAUUAUAUAUCAUUCAAGUUCAUUUUUCUUCGAUUUUCUCUCUCUAAAAAAAUAUUUUCUCUCUCUAACAAAAAAUUCUCUCUCUCUAACAAAAAAUUCUCUCUCUAGCUUAUAAGCUCAAUUAUCCAAAUACUUUGUCAACUUAUAAACUCUUAAAAAUUACAUCUUAUAAGCUCUUGAAAUAUUUUAUAAGCUCCAAGAGCUUAUAAACUCUUUAAAAUAAGCUUAGCCAAACACCCUCUAAGCAAUUUCAUGUAUCCACCACCACCACAUAUGUUACGAUAUUAAAGCUUUAGAAUUUAAAGUUAAUAAUAGACGAAAAAUGUACACUUUCACAUUAACAACCUUAAUAUAUUAAGAGUACCCGUUUGUCAUAUUCUUUAUCUAUGUAUGUAUUUUACAAUGUCACGACAAUUAACAAUAUAAUAUCUGAAAUAGUACGUCACGUACACGGAACUAACUCAUUUAUACGUCGACCAAAAUUUCUUACUAUAUUUUUGUCGUGCACCACCUCGAUUAAUCAGUAAUGAUCAUUUACAAAGUGAAAAAAAUAGUACUUAAAAUUCAAUUAGCAAUUAAAAAAUAGGGUUAAUAGUGUUUUAUGUCCCGAACUUUCAGCGUUUUUCAUAAAAUAUUCUGAACUUUUAUUUUCUCUUAAAAAACCCUGAACUUUCAAUUUUUUUCCAUAAAAUGUCCCGCUAUACAAAAUUCGAUAACGGAAAGAUGAUUUAAAAAACCCGAACUUUCAGCGUUUUUCAACCAUAGUAGUUCCCAAUAUGGUGGCGGCCCCAAAAUAUUUCUUUCAGCGAGAUAAUUCAUCUUUUUGUCACCAAAAUUUGUAUAGUGAGAUAUUUUAUGGAAAAAACUGAAAGUUCAGAAUUUUUAAAAAGAAAAUAAAAAUUCGAAAUAUUUUAUGAAAAACGCGGAUAGUUCGGGAUAUAAAAUACUAUUUAUCAUAAAAAAAUAAUGUCUUGGUAACAACACAAGGCAGGCAGCCGGCUUAUAAGAAUACUAUGCAUUAGUAUAAUUUUUCCUUGACUUAAAUAGUAAACACUAAACACAAGAACCACAACCAUUAUAUAUCAAAACUUUGACCAUAUCAUCAAAUUCCCCUUCAUAGAGGUGUGUGUGUGUGUGAGGGGAGAGUGUGUGUGUUGAUCAAUGGAGGCAAAGGAAGCAAGUCUAUCGAUCUUAAUGUUCCCAUGGCUAGCCCACGGCCAUGUCUUCCCCUACCUCGAGCUAGCCAACCAUCUCUCCAACCUAAACUUCACCAUCUUCUUCUGCUCCACUCCCAUCAUCCUCCAAUCCCUCCCCGACCACCGCGACACCCCGAUCACCCUAAUCCCUCUCCACCUCCCCUCCCCGCCAGAUCUCCCGCCGGAGCUCCACACCACCAAGCACACGCCGCCCCACCUCAUGCCGCGCCUCCGGGAGGCCUUCCACGCCUCCCAAGCAGCCUUCUCCGCCAUCCUCGCCUCCCUCAGCCCCAGCAUGCUCAUCUUCGACUUCUUCCAGCCCUGGGCCGCCGAUGCCGCCGCCGCCCUGAACAUCCCCGCCGUCCACUUCGCCACCACCGGCGCCGCCGCCUACUCCUUCUACUACCACAACUUCACCAGAAAGGGCUCCCCCUUCCCCCACGGCGCGAUGUACCUCCACCCCACGAGUGGGCGGCGCUGCGGGCCACCACCUCCAAUCUCAAAAUGGACAACUUAGAAAGCGGGAUCCCCCACUUCAACCGCUCCCGCGACGUCGUUUUGAUGAAGACGGCGCGGGCCGUCGAAGGGAAAUACAUGGAUUACCUUUCUCAGUUGUGUAACAAGAAAAUACUCGCCGUGGCCCACUUAUUACAACUACCUCCGACAAUGCCGGACAUGGUAAGAGAAUUUAUUAUCAAAUUGAAUUAUAGAAAAUAUAGCUUAUAUCGAGAACUUUUGAUGCAGAUUCCGACAUCAUGGAUUGGUUAGCAAGAAAGAGAGAUUCUCGACCAUUUUCGUCUCAUUUGGAAGCGAGAACUACUUGUCCAAGAAUCAAAUGGAAGAAAUGGCGAAAGGUCUAGAAGCUUCGAAUGCCAACUUCAUAUGGGUGGUGAGGUUUCCUCGAGGGGAGAGAGAGGAAGAAACCGAAGAAGCGCUGCCGUUAGGGUUUGCUGAGAGAGUUGGAGAGAGGGGGAAGAUAGUGGAGGGGUGGGCCCCGCAGACCAAGAUUUUGGCGCAUGAGAAUGUUUGCGGUUUCAUUAGUCAUUGUGGGAUGAGUUCUACGAUGGAGAGCUUGUAUUUCGGGGUGCCGGUGAUCGGCGUUCCGAUCAAGCUCGAUCAGCCGUUGAAUUCGAGGCUGCUGACAGAGGCCGGUCUUUGUGUCGAGGUGGCGAGAGACGAGAACGGAGAUUUUCGAGGAGAUGAUGUGGCGGCGGCGAUCGGAAGAGUUGUGGAGAGUGGGGAGGGGAUGAGGGCUGGGGCGGCGGAGAUCAGGGAGGCGAUGAGGGCGGAGGAAGCGUGCGCGGUCGGUGAGGCAGCGGAGCAUCUCAGGCGAAUUUGUGUCGAGAGCGUAUGAUCUAGUUGGUGGAGUGACGAUUUUAUAAUCUUAUGAAAAUCAAGAGAAUUUAGUGUUUAUUGAUUUAAUUGUAAAUUGAUUAAUACCUAAAAUCACAAAUUUUAAAUUUGAAUUCAUCGUCAUGUAAUUUUUUUAGAAUAUUUAUUUCUACCAGAAACACUUGGAACAAUGAUAAUUGCAUCGUGUAGAAAAGCUUAUUGUUGGUGUUUAUAAUCUGCAACUGUAUUACUUCAAAGAAAAUGAAGAGAUAUCGCCAUAGAUUAAUUAUGAGAUUCUCUAAAGAAAUGCAACAAUAAUCAUGUCUAGUGUCGGAGACUCAGUCACAUUCAAACACUAGUAAAAUUAUAAAUAUACUAGUAUUAAAUAUUAGUCAUAUAUAAAAUCCUGGAACAAGUACGUUCGAUUAUUCAUGUGUUCCAAUAUUCUUCGUGUCCCACUUGAAUCUAUUAUACGUAUCGUUUUAAUAAUACAUUUGUUUGUAUAUAUAUAUAAUAUGGCCUUAUUUAAGAUUUAUUAAUGUCAAAAGGAGAUUUAUUAAUUAAUUAAAACUAAACACUUGUGCGCCGGCGGCCGGCCGGCCACCUCUUUUAUUUAUAUAAGGGCAUGGGGCCCAGCCGCAUGGUGCGCCGGCCACCUCUUCAUUUAUUAGGUUUAUUUUAGAUAUCUUUAUUUAUUUUAUUUAUUUUUUGAAAUACAAGACAUGUAUAUUUGAUAUAAUAUUCAAUAAAAAAAAUAUUUUAUAUAAUAAAAGAAAAUUCUAGAAUCAAUGAUCAAAUAUCCAAACUAAAUAAGAGAAAUUUUGGUGUCUCAACAUUGCCCUUUUUUCUUCUCUUGAUUCUUUGUUAGGAGUAAUACAGUAUUUUAGCACAAAUUUUGCUCGAAAUCCAUUUUUUGUAUAAUCUUUAAAAAAAAUUAUUUUUUAUCACAAGUUUUGAUAUUUGUUCAAUUUUCUCACAAUUUUUAUUUUCCCUUAAAUCGGAAUCGACGUGGCACUGAUGUGGCUAGCUAGCUGGCACACACCAUACUUGUUGCUUUCCGGUGUAUUAAACGCAACGUUUCAUAAAAAAAUGAUUUUUUUAAACAUUAUGGGAAAAAUGGAUUUCGGACAAUAUUCUUGAUAUUACAUGCAAUUAACUCAAGAAAAAAACACAAAUAUUUUUUUGCAAAGUCUGCAACUUCCUCCCAUUCCAAAUUUUUAAAGAAUAUCAAACUCUGAAAUACUACAUUUUUCCCAACCUAAAAUGAUGUCAAAUAGGUGGAGAAAUGUUACAGCACACUGAAAUUAGGCAUAAUAUAGGAACUCAUAUGUUACAAUUAAAACUAGAAAUUCAUCUUAAACAUCUGCAGCUUCUUGUCUGCUGUUUCUUCAAACAAAUUAAAGCUACUCGCCUCUACUUGACCCAUAAUUUGUUCAUCUUCCCUCUUCAACAAUUUACUCAAUCCAUUAUAGAUGAUCAUUUAAGGCCACAUUAAUUAACGUUUAUUCAAGAAUCAAGAAUAUUGAAUUUUCUUUAUAAACAAUGCUGCUUGAGAUAAUCAAAACAGAACACUGGAAUCACAUUCUCCAAGAGUUUUAUUCUUCACCAUUUAAUGAGCAUAAGGUAUAUAUUGAAAAGUGAUCAAAUAAAUUUUGUUAAGUGAGUAAUUAUAAAGUGACAAAUCAGGAUCUUUAUUAUGUGAUGAGGAAUCGUACGUCAUGGACAUAUAUAACUGACAAAUGCAACAAACAAAUGGCAAGAAAAUUAACAUGUAGAGUUCGAGGGUUUUUUAGGACAGUAACUUAGAUUGAUUUGAAAAUUAGGACAAUAUCUUUCGAACUUGUAAAAAUAGAACACUAAUUUUUUUUAAAAAUAAAAUAGGACACUAAUUUUACGACGCUUAUUAUCGGCCGAGAAAUGUCCUAUUUUUACGACGCUUAUUAAUUAAUGUCCUAUAUAUUUUACUCUAAAAAAAUUAGUGUCCUAUUUUCACAAGUCCGAAAGUUUUUGUCCUAAUUUCCAAAUCAACAUAAGUUAUUGUCCUAAAAAAUCCCUUGACUCAACAUGUUAUGAUAAAGAAAUAGAGAAAAUGGCCCUCAUUGAUUAAAGAAGAAUUCAAAGUUUAUUUUGUUAUGUCAUCUGAAUCUCAUGCCUUGAUUAAAAAACAUUAAUUAAGAUAUGCAAUCUAAAAUAGAACUUCUUUAUUUUGUCUCAUUCAAUCAUUAAAGAAAUGUGUGAAGACUUCAUAUAUAGUUCAUCAAUAGACCUAUAUUCAUACCUCCCAGUGUGCGUGUGUGUGUGUGUGUGAGAGAGAGAGUGUGUGUUUUGAUCGAUGGAGGCAAAGCAAGCAAGUCUGUCGAUCCUAAUGUUCCCAUGGGUAGCCCAUGGCCAUGUCUUCCCCUACCUCGAGCUAGCCAACCACCUCUCGAAGCUAAACUUCACCAUCUUUCUCUGCUCCACUCCCAUCAUCCUCCAAUCCCUCCCCGACCACGGCGACAUCCCGAUCACCCUCGUCCCCCUCCACCUCCCCUCCCCGCCGGAGCUUCCGCCGGAGCUCCACACCACCAAGCACGCGCCGCCCCACCUCAUGCCGCGCCUCCACGAGGCCUUCCACGCCUCCAAAGCCGCCUUCUCCGCCAUCAUCGCCUCCCUCAGCCCCAGCAUGCUCAUCUACGACUGCUUCCAGGCCUGGGCCGCCGAAGCCGCCGCCGCCCUGAACAUCCCCGCCGUCCACUUCGCCACCACCGGCGCCGCCGCCUACUCCUUCUACUACCACCACCUCACCAGGAAGGGCUCCCCCUUCCCCCACGACGCGAUGUACCUCCACCGCCACGAGUUGGCGGCGCGGCGGGUCACCACCUCCGAUUUCGACGUGGAGAACUUAGACAACGGGCUUCCCUCCUUCAACCGCUCCCGCGACGUCGUUUUGAUGAAGACAUCGCCAGCCAUCGAAGGGAAAUACAUGGAUUACCUUUCUCAAUUGUGUAACAAGAAAAUACUCGCCCUGGGCCCACUUAUUACAACCGCCUCCGACAACGGUGGACAUGGUAAACGAAAACUGAAAAGUCAUACUUAUCUAUUUUUUUAUGAGGUGGUCUUGCGUACAAUCAAUCGGGUGCACUAUAUAAUUAGAUUACAUCCACACCUAAAUCUUAAUUCGAAUUCUAAUCUGAAUUCACGUCCUAAUUUCAAAUCGUAUAAAUAACAUUAUUAUGAAUGCAGUGCAAGAUACAUCCCAUUAUACUCGAAUUUUCGUGUUUUUUUUAUAUAUUCACGAAGAAUGUCGCAUUUCACUUAUUUAAGUAUCACAUCAUUUUUCACUCUAACCAUAAUUUGUACUUUUAUUUUAUCUUUUAACUAAUAAUAUAUUAUUAUUCUAUUUUUUAAUUUUUUUAUUUAUGUUUUUGAUCUUCUAUUUUUAUAUUUACUCGUACAUUCUAAAAUUGUGAAAUUCGACUGAUUAUAAAAUAUUUGAUAUGCAUAUCAAAUUAAAGAUCACGACAACAACUUUAAUUUAAUAUAUUUUAUGUAAGUAUUGGCUUGAAAAUGUGAAAGUUAUUUUUUUAAGAUUAAAAAUUAAAAUAAAAAUUAUUUUGCAUCUUUUGUUUAAUAAGUUCAUUUUUUAAUUAUUUUUUAUUUUUAUUUUUAUUUUUAUUUUUCUAUCCUUUUUCUUUUAACUUACUUUUUUGCUUUUUCAUAAUAUCAGUUUUGUUAUUAUUGUGGAUUUCUUUAUUUAUUUUUCCAUAUUAACUAAAAUUAUAUUUUUUUUCUAUGAUAGUUGAAUUAAUAAUUUAUUAUAUACAUAUAUAUAUAAGAUAUAAAAUUAAUUUCCGUGCAUAAAGCACAAAUUAAAUCAUAAGAAUUAAAAUUUUUCUUUACAAAUCUCAAGUUCAUAAAAUAUAGCCUUUAUAGAACUUCGACAUUGAUGCAGAUUCAGACAUAAUGGAUUGGUUAAGCAAGAAAGAGAGAUUCUCGACCAUUUUCAUCUCAUUUGGAAGCGAGAACUACUUGUCCAAGAAUCAAAUGCGAGAAAUGGCGAAAGGUCUAGAAGCUUCGAAAGCCAACUUCAUAUGGGUGGUGAGGUUUCCUCGAGGAGAGAGAGAUGAAGAAACCAAUGAAGCGCUGCCACUAGGGUUUGGUGAGAGAGUUGGAGAGAGAGGGAAGAUAGUGGAGGGGUGGGGCCCGCAGACCAAGAUUUUGGCGCAUGAGAAUGUUUGUGGUUUCAUUAGUCAUUGCGGGAUGAGUUCUACGAUCGAGAGCUUGUAUUUUGGGGUGCCGGUGAUCGGCGUUCCGAUCAAGAUCGAUCAGCCGUUGAAUUCGAGGCUGCUGAUGGAGG
RNAcentral lists this long non-coding RNA (11118 nucleotides) under Salvia miltiorrhiza (redroot sage). RNAcentral's name for it is "long non-coding RNA (SMIL_LNC006944)". The record is from RNAcentral. Lineage: Eukaryota; Viridiplantae; Streptophyta; Magnoliopsida; Lamiales; Lamiaceae.